CCUACGGGAGGCAGCAGUGAGGAAUAUUGGUCAAUGGCCGUAAGGCUGAACCAGCCAAGUCGCGUGAAGGAAGAAGGAUCUAUGGUUUGUAAACUUCUUUUAUAGGGGAAUAAAGGUAUCCACGUGUGGAUAUUUGCAUGUACCCUAUGAAUAAGCAUCGGCUAACUCCGUGCCAGCAGCCGCGGUAAUACGGAGGAUGCGAGCGUUAUCCGGAUUCAUUGGGUUUAAAGGGUGCGCAGGCGGGCCUUUAAGCCGGCGGUGAAAUCGCGGGGCUCAACCCCGCCGAGCCGUCGGAACUGGGGGCCUUGAGUGCGGCGGAGGCAUGCGGAAUGCGCGGUGUAGCGGUGAAAUGCAUAGAUAUCGCGCAGAACCCCGAUUGCGAAGGCAGCGUGCCGUGCCGCCACUGACGCUGAGGCACGAAAGCGCGGGGAUCGAACAGGAUUAGAUACCCGGGUAGUC
Molecule: ribosomal RNA, 459 nt
Filed under: uncultured bacterium
Lineage: Bacteria
Description: partial 16S ribosomal RNA
Rfam family: Bacterial small subunit ribosomal RNA
Source: RNAcentral